Molecule: transfer RNA, 83 nt
Filed under: Chelonia mydas (Green sea turtle)
Lineage: Eukaryota; Metazoa; Chordata; Testudines; Cheloniidae
Rfam family: tRNA
About the family: Transfer RNA (tRNA) molecules are approximately 80 nucleotides in length. Their secondary structure includes four short double-helical elements and three loops (D, anti-codon, and T loops). Further hydrogen bonds mediate the characteristic L-shaped molecular structure. tRNAs have two regions of fundamental functional importance: the anti-codon, which is responsible for specific mRNA codon recognition, and the 3' end, to which the tRNAs corresponding amino acid is attached (by aminoacyl-tRNA synthetases). tRNAs cope with the degeneracy of the genetic code in two manners: having more than one tRNA (with a specific anti-codon) for a particular amino acid; and 'wobble' base-pairing, i.e. permitting non-standard base-pairing at the 3rd anti-codon position.
Source: Rfam by way of RNAcentral
ACCAGAAUGGCCAAGAGGUUAAGGCGUUGGACUUAAGUUCCAAUGGACAUUUUUCUGCAUGGGUUUGAGCCCCACUUCUGGUA